UGGAGUCUCGCCAGUUAACGCGGGGCCGUGAAGACAGGGCAGGACAGCAAUAGAUUAUCGACUGGUUUGAAUAAGUUAACGGUACUUGAACGUAGCCAGCCUCGGACCCUGAGAUUGGCAGCGGCUCAGGGAGAAACUGAGGCUGUUAUUUCUGAGAGCCGUGAAGGAUGGAUGAGGCAGCGGUGGCUGGGGAAGGGCAGAUACGUCGCCCCUUUGAAAAGGGAAAAGAAACCUAUAGCUUUGGAAAUGAGUUCACCGCUAUUGCUAGAGCAAUAUUACAACCAACUGAAACGCUUACAAGCAUCGAGGUUGUAACAACAUAAAGAGGAGUAGCCAGCGUGGGUUUUAGUAAAACCAUGGUAAACCCAAGCAGAUUCUUUUUCUAUAGAGGGGCAACGCUACGUGCAUGAGACGAAAACCAGUGGAUACAAGGUUCUUGAUGGUAACCCACAUAACGUUCUCUAAAGCCGGUUAGGAACGCGUUCUGAAAAAGCUUAAAAUGAUGCGAGGUGAGCGUGCGACUCGCUGGAAUGUCACACUCUAAAAGCAGUUACUAACAAUUCAGUGCUUGAUCACAAGGAUAUAUUGAGUGGGGUUUUGCAAGAUUUUUGUCUUGCAUCAAAUUCUAAUAACAUUUUAAUUGCUGGUUUGGUUGAUUGACUAACUUAACGACAGUGCUGCUUAUUCUCUUGGUAGCCGACAGAAAAUUUGGAGGGGCCACAGACCAUCAGAGGACGGGAUUAGUAUACAAAGUAAUCUCAAAUUGGAGAACGUUUGAAAAAAUUCUCGAUGUAUUUAAUCAAGCAUAUAUGCUAAGUCCCUUUUCUUGGUAAGGAUAAUCAUCUUGUAAAAUACAGGGAGAAUGUCUGGCUAAGCUGCAGGUCCACAUGAUCUAGACCGUAUUGCACUUUGAGACUUAGACCAUACCUUAGAUGCUACUGUUAGAACAUGAAUCAGCAAAAUCGGGUGUUGCAAAAGAAAAAAAUCAUACAAGAUGCCUGAACAAAGCGUCAUGUGUCAAACAUACAACGUAAUCUUUUUUUCCUUGUAGUAUUGCAAACACAUGUGGGCAUCACAUUGUAUGUUUAAAAAGAAAAAGUGGAUGAAUGGAACAGAAUGACUUACUAGGAAAGACCUUAGUCUACAAAAGAGAAACCCAAGGGGAAAACCUGCAGAGAGAAGUAGGCUCUUCUGUUGUGUGCGACAUAAAGAGAAGAAAUAAUAGGCUUAUUUGUAGAAAGGGAAGCUUUAGAUUAAAGAAGAGGAAAUCUUUCCAGUUGUAAAGGCGUUUGAGCCAUGGACGAGGUUAGUGGGAAAUCGGUAGAAUCUCACUUCUCUGAGAUGCUCAUGUUAGGUACCUGAAAAUCCUGAGCACCAAGCGAGAGGACUAGAGACCCUUUCAGCCUUGUGGUCUGUGAAGAGCGUUUAUCUAAAGGAUCAAGUAUGCGUCAGCUCUGCUGAAUUCUGGGGGCAGUUCAGGCAGAGGUGUUCAACAACUGGCUCUCACGUAGGAUUUGUCAGCAGUCUCAUUACUUUUCUUGGAAUAAGUGUGGGAUAAAUUAUAGAAACUUAUUGAAGAAUCCUUAAAGGAAAACUGCAAAAAUAAUAACAUAUUGUGGAAGGAUUUUAAAAAAUACUUUAAAGGUAAAAAAUAACCUUUGUAAUGCUCUAUUGAACCCUAGUUUUAUUGUUAGACAACGCUCAUGUGCUAGGUUUCUGGUCUCAGUGGCAGCACGUUAAUGCAUGCUUUUAGUGCAAAUAUCUGUCAUUCAGAAGGCAGAAUAAAAUUACGGUGUGGGAAAUGAUAUUUCUUUAAUUUCAGAAAGAUGCACACAGAGUUAAAGCUCUGUGUUCUGGUACAGCAAAAAAACUUUUUCACUGUUCUGAAAGGUUUUGCAUAGUUAACAGUAUGCAGCCAUCCUGCUUCUGUUUAGUGUGUUAGGUUUUAUUGUUGUUAGAACAUUAUGUUUGUUUCUAGCUGCUUGUCAGUUGUUUCUGAAUUUUCUUGAGAGGAGAUGUUAACAAACACUGUUGUUCUUUUCUUUAGGCAGAUCUGGCAUUUAAACAAAAGCAGAAGGAGGAGCAAAAGAAACUUGAGGAGAUGAAAGCAAAAGCUGCUGGAAAAGGGCCCCUCACUAGUGGUGGAAUCAAGAAGUCUGGCAAAAAAUAGUUUGAUCAAGCUGCUGGAAAAAGGGAUCGAGUUAUUCAAUGGAUCUGCUGGCUUCAGAGAGUCAAGAAAACUCACUGUCAUUUGAGAAACCUUGUACAUUUUGUUUAGGUGGAAUAAAUCUUUUUUGUUAAGAUGUCA
This is a non-coding RNA of Struthio camelus australis, 2308 nucleotides long. The record is from RefSeq and is a predicted model, not a curated record. NCBI's taxonomy places the organism in Eukaryota, Metazoa, Chordata, Aves, Struthioniformes, Struthionidae.